RNAcentral lists this long non-coding RNA (534 nucleotides) under Astyanax mexicanus (Mexican tetra). Its description in RNAcentral is "lncRNA (ENSAMXG00005003641.1)". Lineage: Eukaryota; Metazoa; Chordata; Actinopteri; Characiformes; Acestrorhamphidae. The record is from RNAcentral.
CGCAAAUGCAAGCAAUCAGGAUAUUUAAUAACCAAAAUAAACACAAAAUAAACAUAAAGACUUAGAAAAGAAACAAGACUGAAAAACACAGAAAACAUAUAAAUAUAAAUACACACGGAGGGAAACGGAAAUGGUUGACACCUGGGGAAACAGGUAAUGAGGGGGCGGAGCAACAGAUAAGAGUCACGUGGGAGAACACAGGUGAGAACACUCAGACACAGGGAAAACACAGAGCAUGUGCAUAAACACAACACAGGAACAGGAGCACAGACGGGAAACAGGGCAAGGACGUGACACACCAAACGGAACCCUCGUGGACCAAGAGGACAGAAGCAUCUGCAGCCCUCAGAUCUCCCUCCAUCUCAGUCAGUAUUCCAGACUACAUUACCCACAAUGCCAUUCUCAUAGUCACAGUCAUAGUCACAUGCUCUCCAACAACCAAUCAUAUUCUCAUUCACUGUCACAUUGUGGAGCAGGAGAGGAGGAGGAGAGGAGGAGUAAAGGAGGUGUAGGGAAUGAGGAGGAGCAGCAAAG